AGCAGCCGCGGUAAUUCCAGCUCCAAUAGCGUAUAUUAAAGUUGUUGCAGUUAAAAAGCUCGUAGUUGAAUUUCGGGAUCAAAGGAUCGGUCAUGCCUUGGUAUGUACUGGUUUUAUUGGUUCUCACCUUCUAAAGAACCAUAAUGUCAUUCAUUUGAUGUUAUGGGGAAUUAGGACUGUUACCUUGAAAAAAUUAGAGUGUUUAAAGCAGGCUCACGCUUGAAUACAUUAGCAUGGAAUAAUGAAAUAGGACGUUUGAUUCUAUUUUGUUGGUUUCUAGGAUCGACGUAAUGAUUAAUAGGGAUAGUUGGGGGCAUUAGUAUUCAAUUGUCAGAGGUGAAAUUCUUGGAUUUAUUGAAGACUAACUACUGCGAAAGCAUUUGCCAAGGAUGUUUUCAUUAAUCAAGACGAAAGUUAGGGGAUCGAAGACGAUCAGAUACCGUCGUAGUC
Molecule: ribosomal RNA, 450 nt
Filed under: uncultured Glomeromycotina
Lineage: Eukaryota; Fungi; Glomeromycota
Description: SSU rRNA
Rfam family: Eukaryotic small subunit ribosomal RNA
Source: RNAcentral